GAUGAAGAACGCAGCGAAAUGCGAUAAGUAAUGUGAAUUGCAGAAUUCAGUGAAUCAUCGAAUCUUUGAACGCACAUUGCGCCCGCCAGUAUUCUGGCGGGCAUGCCUGUUCGAGCGUCAUUACAACCCUCAGGCCCCCGGGCCUGGCGUUGGGGAUCGGCGGAAGCCCCCUGCGGGCACAACGCCGUCCCCCAAAUACAGUGGCGGUCCCGCCGCAGCUUCCAUUGCGUAGUAGCUAACACCUCGCAACUGGAGAGCGGCGCGGCCACGCCGUAAAACACCCAACUUCUGAAUGUUGACCUCGAAUCAGGUAGGCAUACCCGCUGAACUUAAGCAUAUCAAUAAGCGGAGGA
Molecule: unclassified non-coding RNA, 353 nt
Filed under: soil metagenome
Description: partial contains 5.8S ribosomal RNA, internal transcribed spacer 2, and large subunit ribosomal RNA
Rfam family: 5.8S ribosomal RNA (bases 1-120)
Source: RNAcentral